UACGGAGGGGGCUAGCGUUGUUCGGAAUUACUGGGCGUAAAGCGUACGUAGGCGGUCUUUUAAGUCAGAGGUGAAAGCCCGGGGCUCAACUCCGGAAUUGCCUUUGAAACUGGGAGACUUGAACAUGGGAGAGGUGAGUGGAAUUCCGAGUGUAGAGGUGAAAUUCGUAGAGAUUCGGAGGAACACCAGUGGCGAAGGCGGCUCACUGGACCAUUGUUGACGAUGAGGUACGAAAGAGUGGGGAGCAAACAGG
RNAcentral lists this ribosomal RNA (253 nucleotides) under uncultured bacterium. Its description in RNAcentral is "partial 16S ribosomal RNA". It matches the Rfam family "Bacterial small subunit ribosomal RNA", at positions 524 to 776 of the family's 1533-position model. The record is from RNAcentral.